AAAAAGAGAAGUUACAGCCUUUCCGGUACUUCCAGCCAGCUCUACGAACCACUUCCGACCUAUCGUUAGAGCCACAAACUUCCGACUUAGUGUAAUAGCCACAAACGUUAGGCCGGAGUGGUUCGUAGAGCUGGCCAGAAGUACCGGAAAUGGCUGUAACUU
This 162-nucleotide small nucleolar RNA is filed under the name Tetranychus urticae (two-spotted spider mite). RNAcentral describes it as "snoRNA tetur24g02681". Lineage: Eukaryota; Metazoa; Arthropoda; Arachnida; Trombidiformes; Tetranychidae. The record is from RNAcentral.